Trichechus manatus latirostris (Florida manatee) is the source of this 71-nucleotide non-coding RNA. NCBI's taxonomy places the organism in Eukaryota, Metazoa, Chordata, Mammalia, Sirenia, Trichechidae. The record is from the annotation of a RefSeq genome assembly.
GCAUUGGUGGUUCAGUGGUAGAAUUCUCACCUUGCAUAUGGGAGACCUGGGUUCAAUACCCAGCCAAGGCA